This 336-nucleotide unclassified non-coding RNA is filed under the name uncultured Mortierellaceae. RNAcentral describes it as "sequence contains ITS2". Lineage: Eukaryota; Fungi; Mortierellomycota; Mortierellomycetes; Mortierellales; Mortierellaceae. The record is from RNAcentral.
AACGCAUAUUGCGCUCUUUGGUAUUCCGAAGAGCAUGCUUGUUUGAGUAUCAGUAAACACCUCAACCUCUCUUUUUUGAUAAAAAAAAGGGAGGGUGGACUUGAGCUAUCCCAACGACCUUCACCGGUAGGCGGGCAGCUUGAAAUGCAGGUGCAGCUGGACUUUUAUCUGAGCUAAAAGCAUAUCUAUUUAGUCCUUGUCAAACAGGAUUAUUACUUUUGCUGCAGCUAACAUAAAGGAUAAUUGUCCUCUUUGCUGACUGAUGCAGGAUUUUACGACACUUUAUGUGUUGUUCAACUCGAUCUCAAAUCAAGUAAGACUACCCGCUGAACUUAA